UUUCACUGCUGAAAAUGGAACAAUUGACACUGAUCAUUAUGUUUCAGGCAUUUGUCCUCAACCGCGGUAAGAACGUUUACAUUGGAAACUUGAGUUUCCGGGACAGAUCGCAGACACACUUAUCCCUGGAGAGGUCCGUUCGGGUGCUUAUUUCCAACGUCAGCAUAAGGGCCCCUCAGCAGAGCCCCAACACCGACGGGAUGCACUUGCAGCAGUCUAGGUAUGUCUUGAUUGAGGACAGUCACAUAAGAACAGGCGAUGACUGUGUCUUGAUUGGGGUGACUCAUCCUACCUCUAUGUCAGGGGGAUCCUAUGCAACCCAGGUCAGGGGAUAAGCGUUGGAAGUCUUGGCAAAGCCGGAAAGCAUGAGACAGUUCAUGCUGUUAUUGUUAGAGAUGUAAGCUUAGCCGGGACCAUGAAUGGAGUUUGGAUCAAGACAUGGCAGGGAGGCCGUGGAUAUGUUAGAAACAUUCUCUUCAACCGCAUUAACAUGAUUGCAUCUGAUCUUCCCAUCAUCAUCGACCAGAAUUACAGCAACCACGAGAUCAGGUUUCAAGCCACGUGACCCUUGCCGGUUUAACAUGAUUUCAUCGGAUUGGGCAUUUCUGUAGUACCUUGCCGGUGAUCCUCCUUAGGGCUGGGACUAGGAUCCUGUCAUAGACAGGAACCCACAAUGUGAGGCUCAGGCUCGUGAACACAGUAUGGGACGCCGCCGGGAUUUUGAAGUCGGUGCUCCGGGAGAGGCGGUCCAACUGAAGAGCCUGGAAUAUGCCGUAAGUAUGGUUCUGGGCAUUCGCCAGGUGGUAGAUAAUUGCAGAGGCCCAAAUUGGGAUCACUCUCAGAACACAUUUCAUUUCCUCCACUUGCUGUACACUGCAGAGUCUCCAAGAAUUCGAGGCAGAGCCAUCGAUAUUGAUUCCGUCCACCGGCAUAAUGACUGCAGAUUUGUCGAGGAACCUGGAGAGAUAGGACAGUUAACCAGAUAAUUACUUGAAUAUGAUGAAUGAUGUAGAUAAAUUGAUUAUGUCAAAACUUGUGUUUUACCUGAAUUGAUCAGUAGAAGGGAGCUUUGAGUUGGUGGACUUUUUCGACACGUGAUUGAAAAGGCUAACCGUGGGCUGGUCCGGGACUGUCAGCCGCCGCUUCCUGACAGCAGCGACCAGCACUUGGGUGAGGCUUGUAAGUGGGCUCCCAUCGGGCCUCACCUUGACCUAUAGACCGGAGCCCAAAAACAGAAGCGUGCAGGACAAGAGCAUGAGACCUGUGGGAAUAGCGAACCCGAUUGGCCAGCUCACGUUGGAUUGCACGUACACGAUCAGUGUGGCUGAUACCAUCAAAGCAACCGUGAGGGUGAAGUAGUACCAGUUGAAGAAGCUGUCAACUCCCCGUCGGCCCGAUUCAGUGGAGGGAUCAAACUGAUCAGCGCCAAAGGCGAAGUUGCACGGGCGGAUCCCACCGGCUCCAAUGACCAGGAGGCCUAAUCCGACAAAGAGGAAGGCUAAUUGGCCGGAUGUCGGGCCAACGCAGGCAGUGGAUUGGGCUGAGCACUGGGGAGGGUGCAGAGCUGGGAAUGUUGCCGUGAGGGUUAUCGAUAUGAGGCCCUGUAACACCAACUACGUGGUCACAUUAUUUCGACCGGCAAUCACCAAAUACUCUCAGAACAAAAAUUAAUGUUGACUGCAGUUCAACAUUAAACAUAUUCUUGUGCAUAAGUGACGGAAUGGGAUAUUACCAGGAAAGAGGAAACGGAAGCAAAACCAAGAGUCUUGUAGCGGCCGAAGUAAGUAUCAGAAAGGUAAGCUCCGACCAGCGGCGACAUGUUAGAGGUUCCAUUGAAGACAUUGAUGAGAGUGGCCGCACUCACAUUCUUCAUGUUAAACACCUCGGUGAAGUAGACCGUGAGGUUAGAUAGUGCGCCAAUUGUUCCCAGCUUCUCAAAUGUUUCAUUUCCUGCAGGAAAUAUAUGGUAUCCUUCAUGCGUCAAUCAGGGCAUCUGUCUAGACUAUCACUAAUGCUAAACAAUGUUUCACAGCAAAAUAAGCAUAUAGAUGGGCUGUCGGGAAAUGAGGAAGCAGCUCGAGAAGGGGCCGGCCUUACCGAUUAUGAAGGGCAUGACUUUAAGACCUCUAUAGACAGGCAGUUGAUCCUCAUGAUCAGCUAAACCAUUUGUCUGGGCUCUCUCUUCCUCCAUGGCCAGCAAACCUUGACCUUGCUUACUGUAUUCUACUAUGAUGGAGAGAGAAUAAAGAUGUUGUCUUAAAAAGGGAAAAAUAAAUAAAUAAAUAACAGAGACACAGGCACAGACACAGACAGAGAACAGAAAGGGUUUGUAGAGGAUGAAGAGGAAGAAAUGAAAACUUCAAGGGCGUCAUCGGCUUUUAUAUAGUGGAAAGACAAUCAAGGGAGAGAGCUUCUCUGUAGUAUAUUAUUGCUUGUUGAUUCGCCAGGGAAAAUUUUUGGGCCCGCUCAGGACAAUCCAUUAUACCUCUUGGACUGUAGGAUUUACCCGAUCUCCAGUCUCGUGGUGCAGAUCUGACGGUCCGAAAUGUACAAAGGACUGUUCGAAAUACGGGAUUGGAUAAUUUUUAUAUUUAGCAGUCCGCGCAGAGAGACCGGAAAUUGUCUGGUGAUGUCGCCGUGGCCUGUGGGCGUUAGGUGACAAGGUCUCCCGAUUCCUUUGAUUUCAGUGACAGAUAUAUAAAAUAGAUAUAUAGAGUUUUACAUCUAUACACAUGUAUCACACUGACAUACAAAAUAGGCCCCCUCAUCCUCUGGUCUCUUUCCUUGUUCAGCAAGAAAUUUCUCUGAAAGUAAAUUUGUUUAGGGAA
Molecule: non-coding RNA, 2828 nt
Organism: Punica granatum (pomegranate)
Lineage: Eukaryota; Viridiplantae; Streptophyta; Magnoliopsida; Myrtales; Lythraceae
Source: RefSeq, a predicted model, not a curated record